Molecule: non-coding RNA, 31 nt
Filed under: Mus musculus (house mouse)
Lineage: Eukaryota; Metazoa; Chordata; Mammalia; Rodentia; Muridae
Source: RNAcentral
UGGUUAUUUGAAUGGUCCAACAAACCCUCCC